RNAcentral lists this non-coding RNA (23 nucleotides) under Arabidopsis thaliana (thale cress). The record is from RNAcentral. Lineage: Eukaryota; Viridiplantae; Streptophyta; Magnoliopsida; Brassicales; Brassicaceae.
AGGUUCCACACCUCCGUUAUUCU